GGACGUGUAGCACAGCUGGAUAAUGCGUUGGCCUCCUAAGCCGAAGAUCCCGGGUUCAAAUCCUGGCACGUCCG
Molecule: transfer RNA, 74 nt
Filed under: Methanobacteriota archaeon
Lineage: Archaea; Methanobacteriati; Methanobacteriota
Description: Euryarchaeota archaeon (marine metagenome) tRNA-Arg
Rfam family: tRNA
About the family: Transfer RNA (tRNA) molecules are approximately 80 nucleotides in length. Their secondary structure includes four short double-helical elements and three loops (D, anti-codon, and T loops). Further hydrogen bonds mediate the characteristic L-shaped molecular structure. tRNAs have two regions of fundamental functional importance: the anti-codon, which is responsible for specific mRNA codon recognition, and the 3' end, to which the tRNAs corresponding amino acid is attached (by aminoacyl-tRNA synthetases). tRNAs cope with the degeneracy of the genetic code in two manners: having more than one tRNA (with a specific anti-codon) for a particular amino acid; and 'wobble' base-pairing, i.e. permitting non-standard base-pairing at the 3rd anti-codon position.
Source: RNAcentral